This 70-nucleotide transfer RNA is filed under the name Loxodonta africana (African savanna elephant). It matches the Rfam family "tRNA". Rfam says of the family: Transfer RNA (tRNA) molecules are approximately 80 nucleotides in length. The record is from Rfam by way of RNAcentral. Lineage: Eukaryota; Metazoa; Chordata; Mammalia; Proboscidea; Elephantidae.
GCACUGGUGAUUCAGGGUAGAAUUCUCACCUUCCAUGCAGGAUACCCAGGUUUGAUUCCAGGCCAAUGCA